This 534-nucleotide ribosomal RNA is filed under the name uncultured Streptococcus sp. Its description in RNAcentral is "bacterial SSU rRNA". It matches the Rfam family "Bacterial small subunit ribosomal RNA", at positions 8 to 524 of the family's 1533-position model. Lineage: Bacteria; Bacillati; Bacillota; Bacilli; Lactobacillales; Streptococcaceae. The record is from RNAcentral.
AGAGUUUGAUCCUGGCUCAGGAUGAACGCUGGCGGCGUGCCUAAUACAUGCAAGUAGAACGCUGAAAGAAGGAGCUUGCUCUUUCUGGAUGAGUUGCGAACGGGUGAGUAACGCGUAGGUAACCUGCCUCUUAGCGGGGGAUAACUAUUGGAAACGAUAGCUAAUACCGCAUAACAGUCGACAUUGCAUGAUGUUGACUUGAAAGGUGCAAAUGCAUCACUAAGAGAUGGACCUGCGUUGUAUUAGCUAGUUGGUGAGGUAACGGCUCACCAAGGCGACGAUACAUAGCCGACCUGAGAGGGUGAUCGGCCACACUGGGACUGAGACACGGCCCAGACUCCUACGGGAGGCAGCAGUAGGGAAUCUUCGGCAAUGGGGGGAACCCUGACCGAGCAACGCCGCGUGAGUGAAGAAGGUUUUCGGAUCGUAAAGCUCUGUUGUAAGAGAAGAACGAGUGUGAGAGUGGAAAGUUCACACUGUGACGGUAUCUUACCAGAAAGGGACGGCUAACUACGUGCCAGCAGCCGCGGUAAU